CUAUAUAAACCCUGUAGAUCCGAAUUUGUGUAAAAAUAACAGCAGCCACAAGUUCGCAUCUUUGGGAGUAUGUAGG
Non-coding RNA from Xyrichtys novacula (pearly razorfish), 76 nucleotides. NCBI's taxonomy places the organism in Eukaryota, Metazoa, Chordata, Actinopteri, Labriformes, Labridae. The record is from the annotation of a GenBank genome assembly.